CAGCUCUCCGAGUGGUAGGGAUGAUUAUUGGGCUUAAAGCGUCCGUAGCCGGCUUAGCAAGUCUCCUGUUAAAUUCAGCGACCUAAUCGUUGAGCCGCGGGAGAUACUACUAGGCUAGGAGGCGGGAGAGGUCGACGGUACUUCUGGGGUAGGGGUGAAAUCCUAUAAUCCCAGGAGGACCACCAGUGGCGAAGGCUGUCGACUAGAACGCGCUCGACGGUGAGGGACGAAAGCUGGGGGAGCGAACCGGAUUAGAGACCCGAGUAGUCC
Molecule: ribosomal RNA, 270 nt
Filed under: uncultured archaeon
Lineage: Archaea
Description: partial 16S ribosomal RNA
Rfam family: Archaeal small subunit ribosomal RNA
Source: RNAcentral